UGAGCCCUUCUAUAAAAAGAGGCAGAGAGAGCCCAGGUGUGACAGGCCAGAACGAGAGACGGGUGCAGCUUUUCCACUCUGCAGAGUUUUCACCGACUUCACCCCACGCAAACUUUACUUUAAGGAGCAUUUGGCCUGUCUGUGAUCAAUCCCCCGGUCAGAGAUUUAGCUGCAUCCGAGACCCCAGCGCCGAUCUACUGCUUCCCCAUCACCAUGGAGGCUUCUCUUGUCAUCUGCAUCCUCGCUGCUCUCCUGGCUACGGGGACCUGUCUGCAGUGUGAGGUUUGCAAUGGACCAGGGAACAACUGCACGGGCAGCAUGCAGACCUGCCCAGCUGGGCAAGACUCUUGUGCCAUCUUCCUUACAGAAGUCAUAC
Molecule: non-coding RNA, 376 nt
Organism: Chrysemys picta bellii (western painted turtle)
Lineage: Eukaryota; Metazoa; Chordata; Testudines; Emydidae
Source: RefSeq, a predicted model, not a curated record